GAUGAACGCUGGCGGCGUGCCUAAUACAUGCAAGUCGAGCGAACAGAUGAUGAGCUUGUUCCUUUGACGUUAGCGGCGGACGGGUGAGUAACACGUGGAUAACCUACCUAUAAGACUGGGAUAACUACGGGAAACCGGUGCUACUACCGGAUAAUAUAUUGAACCGAAUGGUUCAAUAGUGAUAGACGGUUUUGCUGGCACGUUUAGCUGGUUCCGCGCCGCAUUAGCUAGUUGGUAACGUAACGGCUUACCAAGGCACCGAGGCAUAGACGAUCUGAGAGAUUGAUCGGCCACACUGGAACAGAGACAGGGGCCAGACUCGGACGGGAGGUAGGAGUAGGGAAUAUUGAAGAAUGGGCGGAAGCCGGACGGAGCAACGCCGCGUGAGUGAAGAAGGUCUUAGGAUGGUAAAAAUCUGUUGUUAGGGAAGAAAAAAUGCUUAUGAAAAUAAGCACGUCCUGACGGUACCUGAUCAAUAAGCAACGGCUAACUACGUG
RNAcentral lists this ribosomal RNA (497 nucleotides) under uncultured bacterium. RNAcentral describes it as "partial 16S ribosomal RNA". It matches the Rfam family "Bacterial small subunit ribosomal RNA", at positions 28 to 507 of the family's 1533-position model. The record is from RNAcentral.